RNAcentral lists this non-coding RNA (45 nucleotides) under Trichobilharzia regenti. Lineage: Eukaryota; Metazoa; Platyhelminthes; Trematoda; Strigeidida; Schistosomatidae. The record is from RNAcentral.
AUCCAGCUGAAGAGUCCCAAAUAGGACGAAAUGUGCAUCCUGGAU